This 427-nucleotide ribosomal RNA is filed under the name uncultured bacterium. Its description in RNAcentral is "partial 16S ribosomal RNA". It matches the Rfam family "Bacterial small subunit ribosomal RNA", at positions 355 to 774 of the family's 1533-position model. The record is from RNAcentral.
UGGGGAAUAUUGGACCAUGGGCGAAAGCCUGAUCCAGCCAUGCCGCGUGUGUGAAGAAGGUCUUCGGAUUGUAAAGCACUUUAAGUUGGGAGGAAGGGCAUUAACCUAAUACGUUAGUGUUUUGACGUUACCGACAGAAUAAGCACCGGCUAACUCUGUGCCAGCAGCCGCGGUAAUACAGAGGGUGCAAGCGUUAAUCGGAAUUACUGGGCGUAAAGCGCGCGUAGGUGGUUUGUUAAGUUGGAUGUGAAAUCCCCGGGCUCAACCUGGGAACUGCAUUCAAAACUGACUGACUAGAGUAUGGUAGAGGGUGGUGGAAUUUCCUGUGUAGCGGUGAAAUGCGUAGAUAUAGGAAGGAACACCAGUGGCGAAGGCGACCACCUGGACUAAUACUGACACUGAGGUGCGAAAGCGUGGGGAGCAAACA